RNAcentral lists this ribosomal RNA (251 nucleotides) under uncultured prokaryote. RNAcentral's name for it is "partial 16S rRNA". It matches the Rfam family "Bacterial small subunit ribosomal RNA", at positions 525 to 775 of the family's 1533-position model. The record is from RNAcentral.
ACGUAGGUGGCAAGCGUUGUCCGGAAUCAUUGGGCGUAAAGAGCGCGUAGGUGGCUUGUCAGGUCUGGUGUGAAAUUUCGGGGCUCAACCCCGAACCUGCAUCGGAAACCGGCUUGCUAGAGUCUGGGAGAGGAGAGUGGAAUUCCUGGUGUAGCGGUGAAAUGCGUAGAUAUCAGGAGGAACACCGGUAGCGAAGGCGGCUCUCUGGAACAGUACUGACGCUGAGGCGCGAAAGCUAGGGGAGCGAACAG